GAUGAACGCUGGCGGCGUGCUUAACACAUGCAAGUCGAACGGGAAUGCCACGCUGAUGCGAUUUCGGUCAAAUCUUGUGGCAUUUUAGUGGCGGACGGGUGAGUAACGCGUGGGUAACCUGCCUCACACCGGGGGAUAACACUUAGAAAUAGGUGCUAAUACCGCAUAAGCGCACGGGACCGCAUGGUCUUGUGUGAAAAACUCCGGUGGUGUGAGAUGGACCCGCGUCUGAUUAGCUGGUUGGCGGGGUAACGGCCCACCAAGGCGACGAUCAGUAGCCGGCCUGAGAGGGUGGACGGCCACAUUGGGACUGAGACACGGCCCAA
Molecule: ribosomal RNA, 326 nt
Filed under: uncultured bacterium
Lineage: Bacteria
Description: bacterial SSU rRNA
Rfam family: Bacterial small subunit ribosomal RNA
Source: RNAcentral